AGUAGAGGGCUGAUGUUGCUGAGGCGUGUAAUAUUGGUUUUGUUGAGGAGAUGGGCAUGGAUAUGGUGUUGCUUGCGGGUAUCCGUACUGAUUCCAUGAUGAGGAUGAAAUAUGCCUCCCACUUGACCCUUUCGAGUUCUUCCCUCCCAUUAGCUAAAGAACUCUUCCAAAUUUCAGGACUCAAAACUUCUGUGUCUCUAUCUUAUCAACAGCUCAGGCAAGAAAACCAAGCAAAGGCAGUAGCAUUUCUUGGUCAACUCCAAUCCUGCCAUCUCUAUUUUCUACACCUUUGAUUCCAAGAAACAAGC
RNAcentral lists this unclassified non-coding RNA (308 nucleotides) under Hevea brasiliensis (rubber tree). The record is from RNAcentral. Lineage: Eukaryota; Viridiplantae; Streptophyta; Magnoliopsida; Malpighiales; Euphorbiaceae.